AAAAAUACAAACUCUGGGUUUCUGUGCCUAACUUUGACUGUCCGUCUUAUAUGAAUUUUUUUUAUAAUUUGUAUUUUUAUUGUUGUUAGAUGAUAAAACAUGAUUAAUAUUUUAUGUGUGACUUUUUUUUAACGUUUUUUCAUAAUUUUUUCAAAUAAGACGGACGGUUAAACAUUGGACACGGAAAUCAGGGUUUGUCUUUUU
RNAcentral lists this microRNA precursor (204 nucleotides) under Oryza barthii. Its description in RNAcentral is "MIR812 microRNA precursor family". It matches the Rfam family "MIR812 microRNA precursor family". Lineage: Eukaryota; Viridiplantae; Streptophyta; Magnoliopsida; Poales; Poaceae. The record is from Rfam by way of RNAcentral.